RNAcentral lists this ribosomal RNA (313 nucleotides) under uncultured delta proteobacterium. RNAcentral's name for it is "bacterial SSU rRNA". It matches the Rfam family "Bacterial small subunit ribosomal RNA", at positions 536 to 847 of the family's 1533-position model. Lineage: Bacteria; Deltaproteobacteria. The record is from RNAcentral.
AAGCGUUGUUCGGAAUUAUUGGGCGUAAAGCGCGUGUAGGCGGUUUGUUAAGUCUGAUGUGAAAGCCCCGGGCUCAACCUGGGAAGUGCAUUGGAUACUGGCAGACUUGAAUACGGGAGAGGGUAGUGGAAUUCCUGGUGUAGGAGUGAAAUCCGUAGAUAUCAGGAGGAACACCGGUGGCGAAGGCGGCUGCCUGGACCGAUAUUGACGCUGAGACGCGAAAGCGUGGGGAGCAAACAGGAUUAGAUACCCUGGUAGUCCACGCCGUAAACGAUGAGUACUAGGUGUUGCGGGUAUUGACCCCUGCAGUGCC